GACGAACGCUGGCGGCGUGCUUAACACAUGCAAGUCGAACGGUGAAGCGCCUUCCUUUUUGGUGGGUGUGGAUGAGUGGCGAACGGGUGAGUAACACGUGAGUAACCUGCCCCCUUCUUCUGGAUAACCGCAUGAAAGUGUGGCUAAUACGGGAUAUUCUGGGUCUGUCGCAUGAUGGGUCUGGGAAAGAUAUUGUUUCGGUGGGGGAUGGGCUCGCGGCCUAUCAGCUUGUUGGUGGGGUGAUGGCCUACCAAGGCGGUGACGGGUAGCCGGCCUGAGAGGGUGGACGGUCACACUGGGACUGAGACACGGCCCAGACUCCUACGGGAGGCAGCAGUGGGGAAUAUUGCACAAUGGGCGCAAGCCUGAUGCAGCGACGCCGCGUGAGGGAGGGAGGCCUUCGGGUUGUGAACCUCUUUCGCCAGUGAAGCAGGCCUGCCUCGUUUGUGGGUGGGUUGACGGUAGCUGGAUAAGAAGCGCCGGCUAACUACGUG
RNAcentral lists this ribosomal RNA (494 nucleotides) under uncultured bacterium. RNAcentral describes it as "partial 16S ribosomal RNA". It matches the Rfam family "Bacterial small subunit ribosomal RNA", at positions 28 to 507 of the family's 1533-position model. The record is from RNAcentral.